Molecule: ribosomal RNA, 503 nt
Filed under: uncultured bacterium
Lineage: Bacteria
Description: partial 16S ribosomal RNA
Rfam family: Bacterial small subunit ribosomal RNA
Source: RNAcentral
AUUGAACGCUGGCGGCAGGCUUAACACAUGCAAGUCGAGCGGGGUGAUGGUGCUUGCACUAUCACUUAGCGGCGGACGGGUGAGUAAUGCUUAGGAAUCUGCCUAUUAGUGGGGGACAACAUCCCGAAAGGGAUGCUAAUACCGCAUACGUCCUACGGGAGAAAGCAGGGGAUUACUUGUGACCUUGCGCUAAUAGAUGAGCCUAAGUCGGAUUAGCUGGUUGGUGGGGUAAAGGCCUACCAAGGCGACGAUCUGCAGCGGGUCUGAGAGGAUGAUCCGCCACACUGGGACUGAGACACGGCCCAGACUCCUACGGGAGGCAGCAGUGGGGAAUAUUGGACAAUGGGGGGAACCCUGAUCCAGCCAUGCCGCGUGUGUGAAGAAGGCCUUAUGGUUGUAAAGCACUUUAAGCGAGGAGGAGGCUCUUUUGGUUAAUACCCAAGAUGAGUGGACGUUACUUGCAGAAUAAGCACCGGCUAACUCUGUGCCAGCAGCCGCAGUAA